RNAcentral lists this ribosomal RNA (257 nucleotides) under uncultured bacterium. RNAcentral's name for it is "partial 16S ribosomal RNA". It matches the Rfam family "Bacterial small subunit ribosomal RNA", at positions 96 to 354 of the family's 1533-position model. The record is from RNAcentral.
UGGCGACGGGUGAGUAACGCGUGGAUAACCUGCCGUAUACAGGGGGAUAACACUUAGAAAUAGGUGCUAAUACCGCAUAAGCGCACGGUUCCGCAUGGAACAGUGUGAAAAACUCCGGUGGUAUACGAUGGAUCCGCGUCUGAUUAGCCAGUUGGCGGGGUAACGGCCCACCAAAGCGACGAUCAGUAGCCGGCCUGAGAGGGUGAACGGCCACAUUGGGACUGAGACACGGCCCAAACUCCUACGGAAGGCAGCAG